Molecule: transfer-messenger RNA, 382 nt
Filed under: Desulfovibrionaceae
Lineage: Bacteria; Pseudomonadati; Thermodesulfobacteriota; Desulfovibrionia; Desulfovibrionales
Also listed under: 1 other name
Description: Pseudodesulfovibrio sp913063155 Standard tmRNA
Rfam family: transfer-messenger RNA
About the family: Bacterial tmRNA, also known as 10Sa RNA or SsrA, is named for its dual tRNA and mRNA-like properties. Its role is to liberate the mRNA from a stalled ribosome.
Source: RNAcentral
GGGGGCGCUCUGGUUUCGACGGGGAUGGUUGAAGCCAAGGUUGCAGGUCGAGGUUGGUCGAUGGCCUCGUAAAAAUCGACCACAAAAUAAAUGCUAACGAUGAUUACGCAUACGCAAUGGCUGCCUAAGGUAGCCUAGCACCUGACGACACGAUCGUCACGAUUGUCCGGCCGACGCCCUAUAGGCCGGAACAAUCGCCAACUCAUAGGGCUAGCAGCAUCCGUUCGUUUGCCGCGCAUGGUGUGAAACUCUUAGGUGAACUGGCUUUUCGGCUGUUUGGGCAGGGGCUACCCGGAAAGCGAGAUUUAUUCCUGUCCUAAACCUGUAGAUGCCUUGAGUGGAGCAUUCUCGGACGCGGGUUCGAUUCCCGCCGCCUCCACCA